Oreochromis niloticus (Nile tilapia) is the source of this 2463-nucleotide RNA transcript. RefSeq lists it as uncharacterized. The record is from RefSeq and is a predicted model, not a curated record. NCBI's taxonomy places the organism in Eukaryota, Metazoa, Chordata, Actinopteri, Cichliformes, Cichlidae. The transcript has 3 exons.
CCUAAGGCUGUUCCAGUUCUCAGCACCGCUCCUCUCUUUUCCUGAGUCCUUAGCAGUUGUCCUCCCCACGAUGACGUUUUCAUUGAGGCCAAGGAAAAGAGUUUAGGAAAAGGAGAUGGACUGCACUAGGGCAUGUGAUGUAUUUCCGUUUCCAAAUACUACCGCUUGGACGUUUACGGAGAAGAAAUACUCCGAGCAUUGCUGUGUCCCACUUUGUUCGGCUUCAGCCAAAUUUAACGGCAUACUAAGUUUUCAUGGCUUUCCGACCCAUUCCGACUUGAGAAGACAAUGGCUGGUAAACAUACGCCGGGAUCAUUUCACGAUUACCUCUCACACCAGGGUCUGCAGCAGACACUUUGCCAGUGAUCAACUCAUAGAGCCAACAACCCUUGAUGGUCGAAGGCGGCUUAUUAAAGGUGCUGUACCAACACUUUUUGAGUGGAAUGGCUUUAAAGUUGAACCACGCGGCGUAGUGUUUGGGAGAGAACGGAGCAAUGCCUUGAACUAGUUCCUGCUGACGAUCAAGAAGAGCACAGUCUUACAAGAGAUCAUGACUACUGCUCAGUCCCUGAGCCGUCUGCAUUGGACAUAUCUGCAUCAGCUGCAGAAGACCUGUCCAAAGACGUGGAGACUCUGAGGAAGGAAAUACAGGAGUUACGUGUCCAGCGAGAAUUUGGGUUACAGCGUUUUGCUGGCUCCGACACUGACAUCCGAUACUAUGCCAGAUACACUUAAGCUCUAUUCCAGCUAAUUGUUUAAAAUAUACCAAGGUCACCAUCAGUUGAAUUUCGAAAGUGUUUCCAGUCUUAAUGAAAACAAAAUAGAUAUUUACUUUUUCUCUGCUGAUUGUAUGUUUCAUGUAGAUGCUUUAGUAUUUCAACAAUAUGCUACAGGUAAAAUACAACACCAAAUAGACUGUUAAUCAGACUAUGUUAUACAGCAUACCAUUAGCAUAUUUGUCACAGUUUACAUUAUUUUUAUGUCAGUGUGUAAUGUUAAUUAAUGAUUGGCACGAUGUAUGUCUCUCUCGUGAAUAGAUUUCCAAGCUAUGAUCAUUUGAUGGCAUUUUGGUUUUUGAUUGAGCCUUGCAUCUAUAAAAUGAUCCGGGUUUCAAGAGCCAAGUCAGCUGCCAAUAGGAACGAAGAAGUGUUGACACCUGCACGCACAUCAACGAGGCAGCUGCUACAGCCAAUUGACGAGUUCUUUCUUUUCCUGGUUUUCCUGUCAGUUGGUUUGAAGGAGAGGGACCUGGCACACCGAUUUAACAUACACCAGUCCACAGUGAGCCGCAUUAUUGCAACAUGGACAAAUUUUCUUGCCACUGCACUGGGGUCUCAAUGCAUCUGGCUUACACGUGAAGAAGUGCAAGCUUACCUCCCUGAGGAAUUCAAAGAUUUCUCAGACACCCAGAUGAUCCUUGACUGUACAGAGCUGAGGUGUCAGACACCAUCCUCACCACUUCUCCAAAGUGAAAUGUACUCUUCGUACAAAUCCCACUGUACGAUCAAAGCCCUGGUUGGCAUAGCUCCACAUGGUCCAGUGACAUUCAUCUCUAAUCUGUAUGCUGGUUCGGUUAGUGACAAGGAACUAUUCAAACAAUCAGGCAUUGCUGAGAAGUUGACUGAAGACAUCACCGAUUGUUGUAAAUGCAAAGUGUACCGCCCACCUUUUCUAUCUAAGCAGAAGCAGAUGCCAGCAUACCAGGUUAAGGAGACGCAGGCCAUAGCCAGACUCAGGGUACAUGUGGAGCGAGUCAUUAGGAGGAUAAAACAGAACAAACUUUUUGAUAGCAUCAUUACCAUGUCACAUGUUUACAAUAUCAACCAACUGCUUGCAGUAGCAUGUAUGUUGUGAAAUUACCAGAAAACACCAUUAGUUAAAAAAUGGGUUAAGUGUGACAAGAUGGACUUUUCCCAAGACACCAGUGCCAGUACAACUUAUGGAAAAUGACCUGCAGCUGAGGCCACUACAGUUGCAUUUCUUCCUUGACAAAACUUGAUUACAGAACUGGUACUUGAGUGCUGAUUGUUGAGUUCCAGUUAUUGAUCAUUCUAAUUCAUUGCAAAUGUUGAAUGUUAAUAAUACUGUUUAAUUAUACUACUAUAUUACUAUUCAUAUUCAACAAAAUUGUUUAUCAAAAUUAUAAAGUAAAUCACUAAAUCGUUUUAAAAUCAUAAGUGACAUUGUGCUUUUGUAACAUCCAAAAUACCAUUUGUCAUGUUCUUCAUUCAGUUGUGUUAUUGUCUAAAUGUAUGUCAGUAUGCUAGGCAUGGAUUUUUAAAUACUUACCAUGUAAAUAAGUUUUGCACAAAUUCAAUGUUUUAAUGUGUGUGUUUAAAAAACUGAAAUUGAUGCCAUUGCUUAAAUAACAGUUUAUUGAUUUCACAUAAAAGUAACAUGUAACAACAAAAAUAUUCAUGGAAUACUUUGCAAAUAAAACAUCAGUUAUUUUGUUCCAGCCAG